RNAcentral lists this ribosomal RNA (497 nucleotides) under uncultured bacterium. RNAcentral describes it as "partial 16S ribosomal RNA". It matches the Rfam family "Bacterial small subunit ribosomal RNA", at positions 28 to 507 of the family's 1533-position model. The record is from RNAcentral.
GACGAACGCUGGCGGCGUGCCUAAUACAUGCCAGUUGAGCGCUGAAGGUUGGUACUUGUACCAACUGGAUGAGCAGCGAACGGGUGAGUAACGCGUGGGGAAUCUGCCUUUGAGCGGGGGACAACAUUUGGAAACGAAUGCUAAUACCGCAUAAAAACUUUAAACACAAGUUUUAAGUUUGAAAGAUGCAAUUGCAUCACUCAAAGAUGAUCCCGCGUUGUAUUAGCUAGUUGGUGAGGUAAAGGCUCACCAAGGCGAUGAUACAUAGCCGACCUGAGAGGGUGAUCGGCCACAUUGGGACUGAGACACGGCCCAAACUCCUACGGGAGGCAGCAGUAGGGAAUCUUCGGCAAUGGACGAAAGUCUGACCGAGCAACGCCGCGUGAGUGAAGAAGGUUUUCGGAUCGUAAAACUCUGUUGGUAGAGAAGAACGUUGGUGAGAGCGGAAAGCUCAUCAAGUGACGGUAACUACCCAGAAAGGGACGGCUAACUACGUG